RNAcentral lists this ribosomal RNA (401 nucleotides) under uncultured bacterium. Its description in RNAcentral is "bacterial SSU rRNA". It matches the Rfam family "Bacterial small subunit ribosomal RNA", at positions 28 to 422 of the family's 1533-position model. The record is from RNAcentral.
GAUGAACGCUAGCUACAGGCUUAACACAUGCAAGUCGAGGGGCAGCAUCAUCAAAGCUUGCUUUGAUGGAUGGCGACCGGCGCACGGGUGAGUAACACGUAUCCAACCUGCCGACAACACUGGGAUAGCCUUUCGAAAGAAAGAUUAAUACCGGAUGGCAUAGUUUUCCCACAUGGGAUAAUUAUUAAAGAAUUUCGGUUGUCGAUGGGGAUGCGUUCCAUUAGGCAGUUGGCGGGGUAACGGCCUACCAAACCAACGAUGGAUAGGGGUUCUGAGAGGAAGGUCCCCCACAUUGGAACUGAGACACGGUCCAAACUCCUACGGGAGGCAGCAGUGAGGAAUAUUGGUCAAUGGACGAGAGUCUGACCAGCCAAGUAGCGUGAAGGAUGACUGCCCUAUGG